GUGGCGCAUUUCAGUAGGGCCCCACACUCGGCGUACUCUGUCGCGCACACCCGUCCGCCGCGUACCUACACUGUCACUGUACGCUGCUCCCGCGAACUCGUGUUUAUCGUCGCACUGACCACCCUCAACGACCGCCGCCACACAUCUCGCUGAAAAUAAUUUCGUCGUUUUUUAUUUAAUUUUCCGUCGUCGCAGUUAUUGCCUUCCCACCACCAUUGUUGUCGUUUGUUUCAACUCGUUCACUGCACUUGUGUCGUAUUAUAUUGUAAUGAUAUCAUAACAAUAAAAAAAAUAUCACGUACGAAUAUAACAAUAUAAUAAUAUUAUAUAAUAGUGUCUCGCCCGAAACCGUACGGCUACGCCGCCGUCAACAGCCCCGGAUCGGUCCUCAGAUAUGUGGCCGAAAUUUGCAUUUCUCGGACUCAUGAUUAUCCGGUUAAUGGUAUCUGCGAAUCCGGAUGCAAAGAGACUGUACGACGAUCUCUUGUCCAGUUACAACAAGCUCGUGAGACCAGUGGUGAACACCAGUGAUGUUCUACGUGUGUCUAUAAAACUGAAACUGUCGCAGCUCAUCGAUGUGAACUUGAAAAAUCAGAUUAUGACCACCAAUUUGUGGGUAGAGCAGGCGUGGAAUGAUUACAAAUUGCAAUGGGACCCGAAGGAGUAUGGUGGCGUGCAAAUGCUCCACGUGCCUUCCGAUCACAUUUGGCGGCCGGAUAUCGUGCUCUACAACAACGCCGACGGCAAUUUCGACGUGACGCUGGCCACCAAGGCGACCAUAUACCACGUAGGGCUGGUAGAAUGGAAACCGCCGGCCAUAUUCAAAUCGUCGUGCGAGAUCGACGUGGAAUUUUUCCCGUUCGACGAGCAGACGUGCGUGUUGAAAUUCGGUAGCUGGACUUACGACGGAUUCAAGGUAGACUUGAGACACAUGGACGAAAAGGUCGGUUCGAACAUCGUCGACGUCGGAGUGGAUCUUUCAGAAUUUUACAUGUCGGUCGAAUGGGAUAUACUGGAAGUACCGGCGGUCAGAAACGAAAAGAUCUACCCAUGUUGUGACGAACCGUAUUUGGACAUAACGUUCAACAUCACCAUGAGAAGGAAAACGCUUUUCUACACGGUAAACAUCAUCAUUCCGUGCAUGGGCAUCUCAUUCCUCACAGUUUUGACGUUCUACUUGCCAUCGGACAGCGGUGAAAAGGUGACGUUGUCUAUAUCAAUUUUGAUUAGUCUCCACGUUUUUUUCUUGCUGGUUGUCGAAAUUAUACCUCCGACGUCAUUAGUAGUCCCAUUACUGGGAAAAUAUUUGAUAUUUGCUAUGAUACUGGUUUCAAUAAGCAUAUGUGUUACAGUAGUCGUAUUGAACGUUCAUUUCCGAUCACCUCAGACGCACAAAAUGGCACCUUGGGUAAAAAGAGUGUUCAUCCAUAUACUGCCAAGACUUUUAGUCAUGCGAAGACCUCAGUACCAGUUUGAACCAAACAAAUUCAACGCCGGUUCGAUAAUGCUGAAGGGCAGAGACAUACAUCCGUGUUUCUUCCAGGCUGGCUGCGGCUACGACAGCACGGAACCCGGAAAAGAUAAAAGUCGUCGACAAACAGACGACAGCAGCGUGUCGAAAGGCACCAGAGAAACGUCUAAAGAAGACUUAUCUAGUGACGGCGAAGGGGGAAGCUGUCAGAUACACGGAGUGGCGCAGAGUCUGAUUUCCGACGAGAUAUCAGUCACCGAAAUGACUACUGACUGCAGCAAGAGCUCGAUCCUGCUCAGGAGCCCCGGAUUUCUGCAUUCGUCCUGUCCUCCGGCCAUGCACAAGUCGUGUUUCUGCAUCCGAUUCAUAGCGGAACACACGAAAAUAACGGACGAUGCGACCAAAGUAAAAGAAGAUUGGAAGUACGUCGCAAUGGUCUUGGACAGACUAUUUUUGUGGAUAUUCACACUGGCCGUGUUCGCGGGCACGGCGGGUAUUAUCCUACAAGCACCCACGCUGUACGACGACCGGAUACCGAUCGAUAAAAAAUUCAGCGAAUACCAAACCUCAUAAAGAAAACGAGUUUUUUAUGAAUGAAAAGAAAAAUCCGAUUGGAGGACGCCUUUUACUCGGAAAGAUAUACAUCGUACAGUCUGACGCAACGCGAGGGCACCUAAAAACAACGAAAAAAUUCAAAUUCCAACGCCGAUGACGUCAUUUUUGUAGUUGCAGUUUCAGUUGCAGCGGUUGUAUAUGAAUAAAAUAUUAUGAUGAUAAUAAUAAUAAUAAUAAUAAUAAUAAUAAUAAGUUAGCAAAAAAAAAAAAAUGUAAAAAAAAAAUUAUAAUUAUGUUACGUUUUGUAUACGUUUAAAUUUUGUUGUAUAUUAAGUUUUGUUAUAAUACUGAUAACGAUGAUUUCAAUGAUGCCCAGUAACAGAGUAAUUUAUUACGCGAUAAUAAUAAUGAUAAUUCACAGACACUGCAGUACGCGAUGUGCCCAAUAUAAAAAAUAUUAUAUUAUUAAUUAUUAUUAUAAUGAUAAAAUGUAUGAUUAUUAUUUAUUAUUAUUAAUUUAUUGUUUUG
This 2554-nucleotide unclassified non-coding RNA is filed under the name Acyrthosiphon pisum (pea aphid). RNAcentral's name for it is "acetylcholine receptor subunit alpha-like, transcript variant X3". Lineage: Eukaryota; Metazoa; Arthropoda; Insecta; Hemiptera; Aphididae. The record is from RNAcentral.